Colossoma macropomum (tambaqui) is the source of this 236-nucleotide long non-coding RNA. RefSeq lists it as uncharacterized. The record is from RefSeq and is a predicted model, not a curated record. Lineage: Eukaryota; Metazoa; Chordata; Actinopteri; Characiformes; Serrasalmidae. The transcript is spliced from 3 exons.
CAGAACACAGACUGCAGGAGACACACAGACUAACAGAGCUUCUUUUAGACCUACAGUUGCUAACAGUCAUGAGUUCAGCUCUGUAUCUGAUCCUGCUUUUCUCAGCUCUGUGGACUCUCUCCUUCUGUUGGGACUCGUCAGUUUCAUGUGGUGAAAGAAACUAAGAACUGGACCGACGCUCAGAAAUACUGCAGAGAGAAAUUCGCUGACCUGGUCACCAUUGAGAGCCCAGAGGA